GGCGAGAUAGCUCAGUCGGUCAGAGCGUCGGAUUCAUAACCCGGAGGUCGGGAGUUCAAGUCUCCCUCUCGCUACUA
Molecule: transfer RNA, 77 nt
Filed under: Cryomorphaceae bacterium
Lineage: Bacteria; Pseudomonadati; Bacteroidota; Flavobacteriia; Flavobacteriales; Cryomorphaceae
Also listed under: 1 other name
Description: tRNA-Met
Rfam family: tRNA
About the family: Transfer RNA (tRNA) molecules are approximately 80 nucleotides in length. Their secondary structure includes four short double-helical elements and three loops (D, anti-codon, and T loops).
Source: RNAcentral